UGGGGAAUAUUGCACAAUGGGCGCAAGCCUGAUGCAGCCAUGCCGCGUGUAUGAAGAAGGCCUUCGGGUUGUAAAGUACUUUCAGUCGGGAGGAAGGUGGUAAGGUUAAUAACCUUAUCAAUUGACGUUACCGACAGAAGAAGCACCGGCUAACUCCGUGCCAGCAGCCGCGGUAAUACGGAGGGUGCAAGCGUUAAUCGGAAUUACUGGGCGUAAAGCGCACGCAGGCGGUUGAUUGAGUCAGAUGUGAAAUCCCCGGGCUUAACCCGGGAAUUGCAUCUUGUACUAGUCAUCUCGAGUCUUGUAGAGGUAGGUAGAAUUCCAUGUGUAGCUGUGAAAUGCGUAGAGAUGUGGAGGAAUACCGGUGGCGAAGGCGGCCCCCUGGACAAAGACUGACACUCAGGUGCGAAAGCGUGGGGAGCAAACAGG
Molecule: ribosomal RNA, 429 nt
Filed under: Chloroflexota bacterium
Lineage: Bacteria; Bacillati; Chloroflexota
Description: Chloroflexi bacterium partial 16S ribosomal RNA
Rfam family: Bacterial small subunit ribosomal RNA
Source: RNAcentral